UUUCCGUAGGUGAACCUGCGGAAGGAUCAUUAUCGAGUUUCCAAUGGGCUAUCGCUGGCGCUCACCCGAAAGUGCAUGCACUCCUGAUCGACCCCACACCUGUCCACCUAAUCUCGGUAUGAGAUCCCGCAGCGUGCCCUCUUUUGGUUGUUCGUGAUGGGUCUCACUGUCUGCGACAAUCACACUAUCCAUAACGUAUCGCAUUGUUUAUUUUUUCGUUCAGCCAAUAUAUACAACUUUCAGCAACGGAUCUCUUGGCUCUC
This 263-nucleotide unclassified non-coding RNA is filed under the name plant metagenome. Its description in RNAcentral is "partial contains small subunit ribosomal RNA, internal transcribed spacer 1, and 5.8S ribosomal RNA". The record is from RNAcentral.